AAUGUUUGGUACAUAGGGAUUGGCACUAUUAGAAGGUCUGUCCUUGUUGAAGAAAGUGCGCCACUGUGGGUGCAAGCACUGAGGAAUCCUAUGCUCAUGUUGCACUCAGUGUGGCAGACUGUCUCCUUCUGCUGCCUAGGAAUCAAGCUGCAGAACUCUCAGCUCCUUCUCCAGCACCAUGCUUGCCUGAACUCGAUCACGUUUCCAUCCGUGGUGAUAAUGGACUAAACUUCUGAAACUGAAGCCUGGCUAGGAUUCUGAACACGAAACUACACCAAAAGCAAGCAUCUGAGUAGCUGAAGUAAAACUGAACUUGCCAAAGAGCAUAUAAAUAACCGACAGCAGAUCACAGAAGGGUGCUGAAGAGUAAAGCUAAAUGUCGAGAAUCAGACCUCACACGCUGCAGCUCCCUCCGCCCUGAGCCGACGAGAAUUCCUGGACGACACUGCUAACUCCCGCGAAGGCACAAAACUCACCUUUUGGGGACAGCUGCCUUAGAUCUUCCUCGUGGAGGCAACUCACCACAGCUACAUUUUGAUUCAUGGAAAACGCUGUCGCCUCCAAGAAAAACCGCUACUCAGCAGCAGAACCCCUCCACUCAGCUCUUCUCCGGAUGAGCCUCAUGCUUGAUAAAGUCUAAGAUAAUACAGGCGCUCUAACUUUGAAGAGAUCUUCCUUUGAGUUUUGGAACACCGCUUGCGGCUCAUGAGCGUCAGCUUCCUCGACAGGAGC
Long non-coding RNA from Mastomys coucha (southern multimammate mouse), 732 nucleotides. RefSeq lists it as uncharacterized. Lineage: Eukaryota; Metazoa; Chordata; Mammalia; Rodentia; Muridae. The transcript has 3 exons. The record is from RefSeq and is a predicted model, not a curated record.